UAUGAUAUCUUUCCAAAACAUGAUUAUAUCCUGAUAUGUCUAUAUCAAGAGCUUUUAUAAGCUCCAGUAUAUAGGUUUCUAGCUGGUCAUGAAUGAUAGUUUCAGGGAUAUCUUAAAGUCUUAAAUUAUUCCUUCUUGUUCGAUCUUUUAGCUCAGCAAUCUUUUUAUCCAUAUUGCAAAUUUUAUCAUCUUGUUUUUUAAUUAGAUUCUCUUG
Molecule: non-coding RNA, 214 nt
Organism: Pelobates cultripes (western spadefoot toad)
Lineage: Eukaryota; Metazoa; Chordata; Amphibia; Anura; Pelobatidae
Source: the annotation of a GenBank genome assembly